Molecule: ribosomal RNA, 380 nt
Filed under: uncultured organism
Description: partial 16S ribosomal RNA
Rfam family: Bacterial small subunit ribosomal RNA
Source: RNAcentral
GUAGGUGGCAAGCGUUGUCCGGGAAUUAUUGGGGGCGUAAAGCGCGCGCAGGCGGUUCGUUUAAGUCUGAUGUGAAAGCCCACGGGCUCAACCGUGGAGGGUCAUUGGAAACUGGAGAACUUGAGUACAGAAGAGGAAAGCGGAAUUCCACGUGUAGCGGUGAAAUGCGUAGAGAUGUGGAGGAACACCAGUGGCGAAGGCGGCUUUCUGGUCUGUAACUGACGCUGAGGCGCGAAAGCGUGGGGAGCGAAACAGGAUUAGAUACCCUGGUAGUCCACGCCGUAAACGAUGAGUGCUAAGUGUUAGGGGGUUUCCGCCCCGUUAGUGCUGCAGCUAACGCAUUAAGCACUCCGCCUGGGGAGUACGGCCGCAAAGGCUGA